Andrographis paniculata is the source of this 782-nucleotide long non-coding RNA. RefSeq lists it as uncharacterized. The transcript has 3 exons. Lineage: Eukaryota; Viridiplantae; Streptophyta; Magnoliopsida; Lamiales; Acanthaceae. The record is from RefSeq and is a predicted model, not a curated record.
CACACACACACACACACACACAAAUUGUAUCUGGGAGCAGCAAGAAGAUUUAUGUUCUCUUUUUUCACUAGCAACUCUGUCGGUUGUUGAUGAUCAAUGUUUCGCAAGAGUCUUUUCAGAAGAUUGUACGGUCGGAGAGCGUGGAUUCAAUGUAGUGAAUCCUAUUAUGAACUGAACAUGGAGUUACAUAAAUAGAAGUUGAGCAAGAACCAUGGAUUUGAUCCAUCUGUCUUUCGCAAGCUUUUCUAAUGAAGAUGCUCGCGUUCGAUGGCAGCCUGUGGAUGCUAUCGAACUAUUACGAUGUGGUUCUAAAGGGCUUAACGAGGAAGCAUGGGGCUUAAAGAUGUUACUCCAUCGAUAUAAACCCGAACCAGACUUUCUACUCGAAUGGAUCUCGAAAUCUGCUUAAACUCCAUCCCAGGGCCAUCUCGGAGUUGUCUUAGGCCCUAAGCAAAAAAAUUAAAUUAUAGGCCCCUAAACAUAUUAUUAAAUUUAUUUUUAAAAUAAUACUGAUGAUAAAUAUAAUAAUAAAUUCUACAAAAAUAAAAAUUAUUUAAUCAUAUAUCUAAUAAAAAAGCAUAAGCACAAAGUGUAUCAUAAAAAUAAAUAAUAUCAUGAUUAUUGUAAAACCAAUAGUGGUAUAAUAAUAAUAAUAACAACACUAAUAAUAUUAUUAUGAACUCCAAAUGUAUUUUUAUUGCAAAAUCUUUUUAUAAAUAAAGAAAAAUAAAAAUAAAUUUAAGUUAAAUUUUAACAGGUAGGGUGUGCGGGUGAAAAAUAAU